GGGACGCCUAAAGACUCCAUAGUCAUAUUCGUAGCUUUUACUUUCAAGUUUCUCCUUUAGAUGAAGUAGGAUCGGAGAUUGGAUCGGAGUUGCGGGGUUCCGAACCCAACCUAUAGAGAAAACGAACCAGAGUUUACGUCUAGUAAAACGGAAUAAUUACGUGUUUGGUAGCAAUGUAAAUUAUGUGUAAAAACAAGGAUUUAUGAAGUUCUUAAGCUAUUAUAUUGAUGCGUGUAUAGUUGAGAAUUUAUUUUAAAAACUGAAUAAUUGGUUUCACUAUUUCUUUUAUGUGUACGAUUGAUUUGAAAUGAGAUAUGGGUAUUCUGUAUGCUAA
Molecule: non-coding RNA, 334 nt
Organism: Carica papaya (papaya)
Lineage: Eukaryota; Viridiplantae; Streptophyta; Magnoliopsida; Brassicales; Caricaceae
Source: RefSeq, a predicted model, not a curated record